Molecule: ribosomal RNA, 592 nt
Filed under: uncultured Fusarium
Lineage: Eukaryota; Fungi; Ascomycota; Sordariomycetes; Hypocreales; Nectriaceae
Description: eukaryotic LSU rRNA
Rfam family: 5.8S ribosomal RNA (bases 210-363)
Source: RNAcentral
AGAGGAAGUAAAAGUCGUAACAAGGUCUCCGUUGGUGAACCAGCGGAGGGAUCAUUACCGAGUUAUACAACUCAUCAACCCUGUGAACAUACCUAUAACGUUGCCUCGGCGGGAACAGACGGCCCCGUAACACGGGCCGCCCCCGCCAGAGGACCCCCUAACUCUGUUUCUAUAAUGUUUCUUCUGAGUAANACAAGCAAAUAAAUUAAAACUUUCAACAACGGAUCUCUUGGCUCUGGCAUCGAUGAAGAACGCAGCGAAAUGCGAUAAGUAAUGUGAAUUGCAGAAUUCAGUGAAUCAUCGAAUCUUUGAACGCACAUUGCGCCCGCCAGUAUUCUGGCGGGCAUGCCUGUUCGAGCGUCAUUACAACCCUCAGGCCCCCGGGCCUGGCGUUGGGGAUCGGCGNGAAGCCCCCUGCGGGCACAACGCCGUCCCCCAAAUACAGUGGCGGUCCCGCCGCAGCUUCCAUUGCGUAGUAGCUAACACCUCGCAACUGGAGAGCGGCGCGGCCACGCCGUAAAACACCCAACUUCUGAAUGUUGACCUCGAAUCAGGUAGGAAUACCCGCUGAACUUAAGCAUAUCAAUAAGCG